UAAUACGAGGGGAGCAAGCGUUGUUCGGAAUCAUUGGGCGUAAAGGGCGCGUAGGCGGCCUGCACAAGUCCAGGGUGAAAGCCCUCGGCUCAACCGAGGAAGGGCCUUGGAAACUGUGCGGCUUGAGUAUUGGAGAGGAAGGCGGAAUUCCCAGUGUAGCGGUGAAAUGCGUAGAUAUUGGGAGGAACACCUGUGGCGAAGGCGGCUUUCUGGACAAUCACUGACGCUGAGGCGCGAAAGCUAGGGGAGCAAACGGGAUUAGAUACCCCGGUAGUCCUAGCUGUAAACGAUGGAUACUUGGUGUGGGAGGUAUUGAGUCCUUCCGUGCCGACGAUAACUCAGUAAGUAUCCCGCCUGGGGAGUACGGUCGCAAGACUG
Molecule: ribosomal RNA, 378 nt
Filed under: uncultured bacterium
Lineage: Bacteria
Description: bacterial SSU rRNA
Rfam family: Bacterial small subunit ribosomal RNA
Source: RNAcentral